CUUUUGUUGGACUCAAAUACAGACACGAGCGAAUCGAAAGUUGAUAUAUAUAAACACCAGUAGAUGGUGACGAGGGAACUUCACCAUCCAAAAAUUGAUAAUUAACAAAAGGAAAUAAAAAAUCAUUUAGUUUAUCAUAAAUUUUGAUAUUAUGCUUCCCGUUUGAAGUUAUAGAUACCAAGAUCUAGGAAAAGGCAGUGUUCAUUAUUAUUAUUAGUUUUAUUAAAAGUCAGUUCGGCGGGACAAAUCUCUUUAGUGUACAUACUGAAGUCGUCAUUACUCAGAGCCAAUAUAUCAUCUAAAUAUCUAAAAGUUGUUGUUAAAUUAUUGAAUCAGAUGUUGUUUCGAUGGGACUUUGUUGAUUUUAGUUAUCCAUUGUAACUCAUGACUAUACAGAAACAGGUCCGUAAUAAGUGGUGCGCACAGUUAUUCCGCAUAGAAAUUCCGAUAACUUGACGAUAUAAGGAAUCUCCAAAGGGAACACAAAUGGUAUCUAAUAAAAUUCAAGGGCAGUUAUAGUAUUAAAGCAGGUCCAAUUGACAUAGUUCACAAUGCAACAAUCUGUCAAAUUAUAGAAAAUUAAUGUAUUAAAAGACACUUUAUCUGAGGAUAUUCACGAACAAAGAAGGACAUUGACCUCUGUAAAUAAUGAUGACGUAAUUGCAAGUGACAACAAAGGGGCUUAGUAUAGGACAAAUUAUUUCAAUGUGUAAUUUGCAUAUAUAUGCUAUAAGGACUAAAUAUGGCAGGAUUUACUAAAAAGAAUAGGGUUAUUCAAAAGAUUCACAGCGAGCAAAUCCCGCGGCCGAAACCGGGUUUUAGCUAAUACCUUAACAAACAUUAGUAGUAGUUUAGAAAACAUGACACGCUUAACUUAAAUGAUAAUCGAUAAAAAGAAUAAUCAAAUGAUCAAUCCGACACACUGUAUGAACAUAAUUUGUAACACAUUAUUUUCUUUAAAAAAGUAGCAGUUGGACCUUCAAUAAUAAUUUACUUGUCAAAAUUUAACAUUUUACCAACUGUACAUAUAUGAUGCAACAGUUUUAUAAAAUCAUAUAAAAAGAGCAACGAUAUCAGUUACGAAAACAGUUU
Molecule: long non-coding RNA, 1092 nt
Filed under: Mytilus galloprovincialis (Mediterranean mussel)
Lineage: Eukaryota; Metazoa; Mollusca; Bivalvia; Mytilida; Mytilidae
Source: RNAcentral